CAGUGAGGUUACAGUACCAGACUACAGUGAGGUUACACUACCAGACUACAGUGAGGUUACAGUACCAGACUACAGUGAGGUUACACUACCAGACUACAGUGAGGUUACACCACUACACUACAGUGAGGUUACAACACCAGACUACAGUGAGGUUACAGUACUAGACUACAGUGAGGUUAGACCACUAGACUACAGUGAGGUUACAGUACUAGACUACAGUGAGGUUACAGUACUAGACUACAGUGACGUUACAGUACCAGACUACAGUGAGGUUACAGUACUAGACUACAGUGAGGUUACAGUACCAGACUACAGUGAGGUUACAUUCCUAGACUACAGUGAGGUUACACCACUAGACUACAGUGAGGUUACAGUAGUAGACUACAGUGAGGUUACACU
Molecule: long non-coding RNA, 399 nt
Filed under: Salmo salar (Atlantic salmon)
Lineage: Eukaryota; Metazoa; Chordata; Actinopteri; Salmoniformes; Salmonidae
Description: lncRNA (ENSSSAG00000112353.1)
Source: RNAcentral